GAUGAACGCUGGCGGCGUGCCUAAUACAUGCAAGUCGAGCGAACAGAUGAGGAGCUUGCUCCUCUGACGUUAGCGGCGGACGGGUGAGUAACACGUGGAUAACCUACCUAUAAGACUGGGAUAACUUCGGGAAACCGGAGCUAAUACCGGAUAAUAUAUUGAACCGCAUGGUUCAAUAGUGAAAGACGGUUUUGCUGUCACUUAUAGAUGGAUCCGCGCCGCAUUAGCUAGUUGGUAAGGUAACGGCUUACCAAGGCAACGAUGCGUAGCCGACCUGAGAGGCUGAUCGGCCACACUGGAACUGAGACACGGUCCAGACUCCUACGGGAGGCAGCAGUAGGGAAUAUUCGGCAAUGGGCGAAAGCCUGACGGAGCAACGCCGCGUGAGUGAUGAAGGUCUUCGGAUCGUAAAACCCUGUUAUUAGGGAAGAACAACUGUGUAAGUAACCAUGCACGUCUUGACGGUACCUAAUCAGAAAGCCACGGCUAACUACGUG
Molecule: ribosomal RNA, 497 nt
Filed under: uncultured bacterium
Lineage: Bacteria
Description: partial 16S ribosomal RNA
Rfam family: Bacterial small subunit ribosomal RNA
Source: RNAcentral